This is a non-coding RNA of Schistosoma rodhaini, 45 nucleotides long. The record is from Rfam. Lineage: Eukaryota; Metazoa; Platyhelminthes; Trematoda; Strigeidida; Schistosomatidae.
AUCCAACCGAGGCGUCCCAAAUAGGACGAAAUUUGUAUCCUGGAU